GAUUUCUGCCCAGUGCUCUGAAUGUCAAAGCGAAGAAAUUCGAUGAAGCGCAGGUAAAUGGCGGGAGUAACUACAAUGUGCUUAAGGUAACCAAUUGCCUCAUCAUCUAAUCAGAAAGACUCUUUAGCCCAUAAGCCAAUGGCACGCAAAAAAGAAA
Molecule: non-coding RNA, 157 nt
Filed under: Felis catus (domestic cat)
Lineage: Eukaryota; Metazoa; Chordata; Mammalia; Carnivora; Felidae
Description: Eukaryotic large subunit ribosomal RNA
Rfam family: Eukaryotic large subunit ribosomal RNA
Source: Rfam by way of RNAcentral